Long non-coding RNA from Numida meleagris (helmeted guineafowl), 2636 nucleotides. RefSeq lists it as uncharacterized. The record is from RefSeq and is a predicted model, not a curated record. Lineage: Eukaryota; Metazoa; Chordata; Aves; Galliformes; Numididae. The transcript is spliced from 3 exons.
GGCUGGGGACCAGAUGUAAUGCCCGGCAACCUUGCUGGCCCCAAAACACAGCAUGUUUUUGUGAGGCACUCGGCUGCGGGGCGGACACGUUCUGCGUCGGCAUUGUCUUAGCAAUGGGGGACUCCUUGCCAGGAGGCACUGAGGGCCCCAUCGGCCGCCCAGAUAACCUCUCCAGAGAGGUUUGCUGUCUUGCGUGGGCACGUGCCAGAGACGUUAAGGAGACUCCACCGCAUCUGAUCAAACAAGUUGACCACCGUCCGCUUGUUGUCAUUCACGCAGGGUCACGGGAGGCUGCAGCGAGGAAAUUGCAGAACAUCAGGAGGGGACUUUGCAUCCCUUGGACAGACGCUAAAGGGAUCGGGAGCGCCAGGCGUGUUCUCCUCUGUCCUCCUGACUGGCGGCUGAGUCCCAGAAGGAAGGAGGAGACUAGAGGAGGCAAAUUACUGCCUGAGGGGAUGGUGUCGGGAUCGAGGCUUUGGGAACCAUGAUCUUGGGCACGCCUUUGAGAGACAAGGUGUGUGGGCGUGAGACGGAACGGGACUGAGCAGCUGGGGCAAAAGCGCUUUGGGGAGCAAGCUGGCGGGAUUGAUGACCAGAGCGUUAAACUAGGUUUGAUGGAGGACGGGGAUGGAGUACCUUGUGAGAGAGAAGGGCCUGGGAAUGCUGUCUUUUUAUAAACUGUGGAGAAAAACCUCCCAGCUGUCCCAUAGGAUCUUGUGAGGACUCCUCAGAGAAGACAACAUUGCCGAGAGCCCGGCUUAAGCCUUCUUGCAUCCCUCUAGAGAUCCCUGCACCCUCUGCGUCCUUACAGUGCCUGUAUAGCAAUGCACCCCGCGUGGGGAAUAAACAGGAGGGACUAGAGAUGUGUGUGUGCUUACAGGGAUGUGAUCUCAUUGCGAUCACGGAGAUGUGGUGGGACAGCUCACGUGACUGGAGUGCUGUCGCGGACGGCUGUGUGCUCUUUCGGAAAGACAGGCUGGCGAGGCGAGGUGGUGGAGCUGCUCUUUAUGUGAGAGAGCAACUCGAAUGUAUUGAGCUCCACUGGGUGGGGGGGAUGAUGAACAUACCCGCUGGAUAGCUCGUGGGUAAGAAUUAAGGGGCGGGCUGGCAUAGGCGGCGCUGUUGUGGGAGUGUACUACAGGCCACCUGAUGAGGAGGAGGAAGUGGACGAGGCCUUCUACAAACAGCUGGAAGUAGCCUUGCAAUCCCCAGCACUCGUUCUUACGGGGGACUUCAACCAUCCUGAUGUGUGUUGGCUAAGCAACACGGCCAGGCACACAAGGUCCAGGAGGUUCCUGCAAUGCGUCGAUGACAGCUUUCUGACACAGGUGGUGGAGGAGAUGAUGAGGAGGGGUGUGCUACUUGACCUUGUUUGUACUAACAAGGAAGGGCUGGUAGGGGAUGCGAAGGUUGGGGGCAGCUUGGGACGCAGAGAUCGUGAGAUGGAGGAGUUCAAGAUCUUGUGUGGAAGAAUGAAAGCAAGAAGUAGGAGUGCUACCCUGGACUUCGGGAGAGCCGAGUUUGACCUCUUCAGAGACCUACUUGGAGGUAUCCCAUGGGUUAGAGCGUUAGAAGAAACAUUCGACUGGCAUAAAUCUAAAGAAAUAUAAACUGUCAUCCAAAUCAAAGCCAGCAGUAGGCAAAACAGCCAGCAGUUUUUCACAGUGCUACAGUGAUUUAUUAAGACUAGGGAACUGGAAGUAUGCCACAUCUACCUAAAUCUUGGGUGCUUGGACUUCCAUCUCAUUGAACUGAGGCUGUGGAUAAUGAGAGAGGCCAACAUAGUCCCAGGACUUGUCUUUUCAUAAAGUGGGUAAUUCAGUCAUGUAUUCAUGCCUCUGGUUUUAAUGUGGUAUUUAUAGGUCCAUCAGUGACAUUAUUUUGCAUUCUUUUGUAAAGUUAGACACUUUGUUAUAUUUUGUUGAAGUUUUGAACAAAGCUCAAACUUUUCUACUGAGAACAUUAAUGAAAAAGCUGAAGUGGAAAGACAGCCUAACUCUCCUUAAGCUGUGCUAAUGCAUACUAGCAGGCAGUAUGGUCCUGUAUCUCUGAUUGUCUUGCGACCACAUGUCAGCAAAAAGCAGCUGACAAACUGGGAAUGCUUUCUGCUACAAAAACUCCUAAGACUGAAUCCCAGACAACUGGAGAAAAAGUAAUACAAAGUGUUAGCAUACAGGGACUUACUGUCCCCUAAUCCAGCAGAAUCAGAUCUGCAGUGCUUCCUCCAUCCUGCUUCUCAGCAUCUCCUCUGCAUUUUCCUUGGUUUUAUACUACUUCACCUCUGUUCAAAAACACCUACAGAGAUAUAUUGUAUGAGGCGAUAAAAAGAAAUUAUUCAUGAAAGGAAUUUACUCACAUUUAGGAGAUGAAGAAUGUUUACUAAAAUGAGAAAAUUGAAAGCUGAAGAUAAAAAAUUUGUUUUCUUAAUGCACAGCAAUAUCUUGAAAUAUACCCAGUAGAGAAAAAUAAUUAAAUGAACAAGAACUGCUAAAAGCCAAUGGCUCUACACUGCAUUUCAUUCUUCUAACUCCUUUAUUUAAUAAAUGCUCUGCUCUGAAUACAGAGAUUAAUAAAAAGUUCAUGAUAGAGAUUAAUAUUUUGUUCAAUAUUCAUUGUUUCACCUGUUAUAAAAUGGA